This 275-nucleotide ribosomal RNA is filed under the name uncultured bacterium. Its description in RNAcentral is "partial 16S ribosomal RNA". It matches the Rfam family "Bacterial small subunit ribosomal RNA", at positions 399 to 691 of the family's 1533-position model. The record is from RNAcentral.
GCGUGGGUGAAGAAGGUCUUCGGAUUGUAAAGCCCUUUCGACGGGGACGAUGAUGACGGUACCCGUAGAAGAAGCCCCGGCUAACUUCGUGCCAGCAGCCGCGGUAAUACGAAGGGGGCUAGCGUUGCUCGGAAUGACUGGGCGUAAAGGGCGCGUAGGCGGAUUGUACAGUCAGAUGUGAAAUUCCCGGGCUCAACCUGGGGGCUGCAUUUGAUACGUAUGAUCUAGAGUCCGGAAGAGGGUGGUGGAAUUCCCAGUGUAGAGGUGAAAUUCGU